UUAUUUAUUGCAAUGUGACAUUUUUAUGUUCUCAGAUGCUGUAGAUUCUGAAUUAUCCUUUUGGCUUUUGUUUUUUUGGAUUUAGUUGCAAAGUGCAAUCUCCCAAAGGAAAAUGGUGUGGAUGAACGCCAUAUAAAUAUGAGAAUCAAUCAACCUGCUUCUGUGACUGUGGAAACUGAGAAGAAAAGUAUGUGUCAGCAAUUAAGUCAACUAAAACGUGAAGUACGUAUGGGGAUUCAACAUGAUGUAACUCAGCAAUAAGGAGUACCAGAUAGAAAUAAAGAAGAACACCGUGCAAUUUGUGAUGCAUAGCUGUGUAACUGAUAAUGUUUAAAAUCAGAAGCCGUUAUUUUGUGUUCCAGACUCAAGCUGAGAUAGGGGAAGCCAAGUGGCUAUGUACGGCUUCCAUCGGCUGUUUACUAAUUAGCAGUUUUUAACAAAGAUAUGGUAGGGAUAUUCUUUGAUACUUUUAAAAGAUAACAUAUAUUUUGUGCCUUUUUUUUCCUUGUACAGAUGGGAUAUUUGCACAUAGUUUGCUCAAAAAAUAACUGAUUUCAAUUGUUUUCCUACUAUUUCAUUUUAAGGUGGUGAUUGGCUGGGUUCGAGCUUUGAUUCUAGGGUACUGAAUGCAGCCAAUUAAAAUUAAAUCAAAAUCAUGUAGCAGAUUUGAUAAUGGCUAGUGUAGUCUUUGACAGAAUUUCUUCUACUUUAUGCUUAACCUGGUACUGAUCCCAGCAGAAACUUUUGUAUGUCUAAGCCUAGCCACAGCUACACAUGACUGUGUAUUAUACUACACAGCAACUUGAAUUCAGAUAUGAGUAUAUGACAUGAACGUAGACUUGUAUGGUAUGGAGUGCCAGAAGAGCUUGAAUUUGGCUGAUUCUUUAGGCCAAGUUUCCAAAAGGGUUCUUUUUACCUGUUAUAGAAUUUUAUCCCAUUUUAAGCUUUGAAGAGAGAUUUAAUUGCUAAAUUUUCAUGAUGCAAAGUGAAAAAUACUCCGAAUCACCAUCAUCUGUGCAAGUCAUUUGGGAUAACAUCAUCAGUGGUUAGUAAGAAAUUUGUAUCUUAGUGGGGGAGA
Quercus robur (English oak) is the source of this 1078-nucleotide long non-coding RNA. RefSeq lists it as uncharacterized. NCBI's taxonomy places the organism in Eukaryota, Viridiplantae, Streptophyta, Magnoliopsida, Fagales, Fagaceae. The transcript has 3 exons. The record is from RefSeq and is a predicted model, not a curated record.